Molecule: ribosomal RNA, 492 nt
Filed under: uncultured bacterium
Lineage: Bacteria
Description: partial 16S ribosomal RNA
Rfam family: Bacterial small subunit ribosomal RNA
Source: RNAcentral
AGUGAACGCUGGCGGUAGGCCUAACACAUGCAAGUCGAACGGCAGCACAGUAAGAGCUUGCUCUUACGGGUGGCGAGUGGCGGACGGGUGAGGAAUACAUCGGAAUCUACUUUUUCGUGGGGGAUAACGUAGGGAAACUUACGCUAAUACCGCAUACGACCUACGGGUGAAAGCAGGGGAUCUUCGGACCUUGCGCGAUUGAAUGAGCCGAUGUCGGAUUAGCUAGUUGGCGGGGUAUAGGCCCACCAAGGCGACGAUCCGUAGCUGGUCUGAGAGGAUGAUCAGCCACACUGGAACUGAGACACGGUCCAGACUCCUACGGGAGGCAGCAGUGGGGAAUAUUGGACAAUGGGCGCAAGCCUGAUCCAGCCAUACCGCGUGGGUGAAGAAGGCCUUCGGGUUGUAAAGCCCUUUUGUUGGGAAAGAAAAGCAGCAGGUUAAUACCCCGCUGUCCUGACGGUACCCAAAGAAUAAGCACCGGCUAACUUCGUG